This 72-nucleotide transfer RNA is filed under the name Aspergillus avenaceus. It matches the Rfam family "tRNA". Rfam says of the family: Transfer RNA (tRNA) molecules are approximately 80 nucleotides in length. Their secondary structure includes four short double-helical elements and three loops (D, anti-codon, and T loops). Further hydrogen bonds mediate the characteristic L-shaped molecular structure. tRNAs have two regions of fundamental functional importance: the anti-codon, which is responsible for specific mRNA codon recognition, and the 3' end, to which the tRNAs corresponding amino acid is attached (by aminoacyl-tRNA synthetases). tRNAs cope with the degeneracy of the genetic code in two manners: having more than one tRNA (with a specific anti-codon) for a particular amino acid; and 'wobble' base-pairing, i.e. permitting non-standard base-pairing at the 3rd anti-codon position. Lineage: Eukaryota; Fungi; Ascomycota; Eurotiomycetes; Eurotiales; Aspergillaceae. The record is from Rfam by way of RNAcentral.
GGUCCUCUGGCGCAACGGUAGCGCGUGUGACUCCAGAUCACAAGGUUAUCCGUUCAAAUCGGGUGGGGAUCA